GACGAACGCUGGCGGCGUGCUUAACACAUGCAAGUCGAACGGAAAGGCCCUGCUUGCAGGGUACUCGAGUGGCGAACGGGUGAGUAACACGUGGGUGAUCUGCCCUGCACUUCGGGAUAAGCCUGGGAAACUGGGUCUAAUACCGGAUAGGAGCCAUUUUUAGUGUGAUGGUUGGAAAGUUUUUUCGGUGUAGGAUGAGCUCGCGGCCUAUCAGCUUGUUGGUGGGGUAAUGGCCUACCAAGGCGGCGACGGGUAGCCGGCCUGAGAGGGUGGACGGCCACCUUGGGACUGAGAUACGGCCCAGACUCCUACGGGGGGCAUCAGUGGGGAAUAUUGCACAAUGGGCGCAAGCCUGAUGCAGCGACGCCGCGUGGGGGAUGACGGCCUUCGGGUUGUAAACUCCUUUCGCUAGGGACGAAGCUUUUUGUGACGGUACCUAGAUAAGAAGCACCGGCUAACUACGUG
RNAcentral lists this ribosomal RNA (465 nucleotides) under uncultured bacterium. Its description in RNAcentral is "partial 16S ribosomal RNA". It matches the Rfam family "Bacterial small subunit ribosomal RNA", at positions 28 to 507 of the family's 1533-position model. The record is from RNAcentral.